This 592-nucleotide long non-coding RNA is filed under the name Struthio camelus australis. RNAcentral's name for it is "lncRNA (ENSSCUG00000016686.1)". The record is from RNAcentral. Lineage: Eukaryota; Metazoa; Chordata; Aves; Struthioniformes; Struthionidae.
CAGAGGCACAGGAACUGAAACUGAAGAAAAUAUCUGUGGGAUUCCACAGAGGCGGAAGCUGCCGCUGGUCUGCACGUGUGAAUUUUGCCAGCGCUUUUAGGUGGCCUAGAAUGAAAGUCUGGUGCUUGUUAAUAAUGAAAGUUGAACCUAAAAUUGGCCACGUUCGAAUUCCCAAUGCCUAGCAAAUUGGAGUAUGAGGACUUAAGGCAGAAAAGAGGGGCAAAACCAGGGAUUUUGAAGGCAGGAGAACUAGCAAGAAGAUCUGUCUCCUGCGCUGAUGUCAGUAGCGGUGUGCAGAAGAGUCCCAAGAUCUAUGGGAAUAUUCUUGUAAAACCAUCUCUGAAGCUUGGAAACGUGCAGUCAGGCUGGCUGAGGUGCGUCUGGCCUCAGGGAGUGGGGAAGAAGCCAUGGUCCUGUGCUGUAGGUGUAUGAAGAGGGUGCAGUGAUGAGGAAACACAGAGUGGGAGCCAUACCACUGAGCAUCCUGCUCGCUUCAGGAGACUCGAUAGGUCUGUAUAAGCGUCCAGUUCACAAGGUAUAGCUUUUUCUAAAUACUGUGAAGGUACAUGCACUUUAAAAUCCCAAACAAUUU